Molecule: ribosomal RNA, 253 nt
Filed under: uncultured bacterium
Lineage: Bacteria
Description: partial 16S ribosomal RNA
Rfam family: Bacterial small subunit ribosomal RNA
Source: RNAcentral
UACAGAGGUGGCAAGCGUUGUUCGGAAUUACUGGGCGUAAAGGGCGCGUAGGCAGUCCGAUAAGUCCCGUGUGAAAGCCCCCGGCUCAACUGGGGAACUGCACGGGAAACUGACGGACUUGAGUUCGGGAGAGGGAAGCGGAAUUCCGGGUGUAGAGGUGAAAUUCGUAGAUAUUCGCAAGAACACCAGUGGCGAAGGCGGCUCACUGGCCCGGUACUGACGCUGAGGUGCGAAAGCGUGGGGAGCAAACAGG